AUGGGUGGAUUGAAGGAGACUAGCAGCGGCCUAAUGGGGAACCGAGACGCCUGCAAAAGCCAUGGAAAGAAAAAAUUCAAGAUACCAAGAAAAAGUUUUAGACUUUGCCGCAACGACGAGUAUGGUACCUUCCCAUUUGUCGACCGGCGCCUUCAGCUCAGGACCACAUCGUUGUAUCGUGAAUCAUACAAACGCAUCCUUUUAAGAUCAGCACUCCAGGACUACAAUGAACGCGUGAGGGACGGCAUGCUUACUUGGGAAGCUUACGAAGAGCAUCGCCUCGCCAUCGAUAGCUCAAUGCAAACUAUCAGACAUAGUAUCCAAAGAUACAAAGAGCGCCGUUUGCAGGGUGGGCUAUUUUACUUGGCAAAUAAAGUAGGCGGAAACGGGCUGACUAACCGUACACACUUGUACCACAUGCCUCUCAAGGAAGCGUUGAGGAAACAUCGACAAGAAAACAAAAGGAGGAAACAACUAUUGAAUGCUUUCAACAAUUCAAAGAAAUCAAGCAUCUUUGACACCGUCCUGCAGAGACCGUCUGUGAAAAGGCUAGUCAUGUAUACAGUGUCUUCCCUUGUAUUGGGUUGUGUUAUAAUUUUUCUAUGA
RNAcentral lists this ribosomal RNA (606 nucleotides) under Triticum aestivum (bread wheat). Its description in RNAcentral is "partial small subunit ribosomal RNA". The record is from RNAcentral. Lineage: Eukaryota; Viridiplantae; Streptophyta; Magnoliopsida; Poales; Poaceae.